UACGAAGGGGGCUAGCGUUGCUCGGAAUCACUGGGCGUAAAGCGCACGUAGGCGGACUCUUAAGUCGGUGGUGAAAUCCUGGAGCUCAACUCCAGAACUGCCUUUGAUACUGAGGAUCUUGAGUACGGGAGAGGUGAGUGGAACUGCGAGUGUAGAGGUGAAAUUCGUAGAUAUUCGCAAGAACACCAGUGGCGAAGGCGGCUCACUGGCCCGUUACUGACGCUGAGGCACGAAAGCGUGGGGAGCAAACAGG
RNAcentral lists this ribosomal RNA (253 nucleotides) under uncultured bacterium. RNAcentral describes it as "partial 16S ribosomal RNA". It matches the Rfam family "Bacterial small subunit ribosomal RNA", at positions 524 to 776 of the family's 1533-position model. The record is from RNAcentral.